This 491-nucleotide ribosomal RNA is filed under the name uncultured bacterium. Its description in RNAcentral is "partial 16S ribosomal RNA". It matches the Rfam family "Bacterial small subunit ribosomal RNA", at positions 28 to 507 of the family's 1533-position model. The record is from RNAcentral.
GAUGAACGCUGUCUACAGGCUUAACACAUGCAAGUCGAGGGGAAACGACGGGGAAGCUUGCUUCCCCGGGCGUCGACCGGCGCACGGGUGAGUAACGCGUAUCCAACCUGCCUCUGACUGAGGGAUAACCCGUCGAAAGUCGGCCUAAUACCUCAUGGCAUCGUCUGCGGGCAUCCAACGACGAUUAAAGAUUUCAUCGGUCAGGGAUGGGGAUGCGUCUGAUUAGCUUGUUGGCGGGGUAACGGCCCACCAAGGCUACGAUCAGUAGGGGUUCUGAGAGGAAGGUCCCCCACAUUGGAACUGCGACACGGUCCAAACUCCUACGGGAGGCAGCAGUGAGGAAUAUUGGUCAAUGGGCGGGAGCCUGAACCAGCCAAGUAGCGUGCAGGAUGACGGCCCUAUGGGUUGUAAACUGCUUUUAUGCGGGGAUAAAGUGAGGGACGUGUCCUUCAUUGCAGGUACCGCAUGAAUAAGGACCGGCUAAUUCCGUG